This 463-nucleotide ribosomal RNA is filed under the name uncultured bacterium. RNAcentral describes it as "partial 16S ribosomal RNA". It matches the Rfam family "Bacterial small subunit ribosomal RNA", at positions 339 to 795 of the family's 1533-position model. The record is from RNAcentral.
CUACGGGUCGCUGCAGUGGGGAAUAUUGCACAAUGGGCGCAAGCCUGAUGCAGCCAUGCCGCGUGUAUGAAGAAGGCCUUCGGGUUGUAAAGUACUUUCAGCGGGGAGGAAGGGAGUAAAGUUAAUACCUUUGCUCAUUGACGUUACCCGCAGAAGAAGCACCGGCUAACUCCGUGCCAGCAGCCGCGGUAAUACGGGGGUGCAAGCGUUAAGCGGAAUUACUGGGCGUAAAGCGCACGCAGGCGGUUUGUUAAGUCAGAUGUGAAAUCCCCGGGCUCAACCUGGGAACUGCAUCUGAUACUGGCAAGCUUGAGUCUCGAAGAGGGGGGUAGAAUUCCAGGUGUAGCGGUGAAAUGCGUAGAGAUCUGGAGGAAUACCGGUGGCGAAGGCGGCCCCCUGGACGAAGACUGACGCUCAGGUGCGAAAGCGUGGGGAGCAAACAGGAUUAGAUACCCGUGUAGUC